This 999-nucleotide long non-coding RNA is filed under the name Monodelphis domestica (gray short-tailed opossum). RNAcentral describes it as "lncRNA (ENSMODG00000035411.2)". Lineage: Eukaryota; Metazoa; Chordata; Mammalia; Didelphimorphia; Didelphidae. The record is from RNAcentral.
GAGAUAUUGUGAAGGCACAAUGGCAGGACUGGGCAAAUGAUUGGAUGUCAGAAAUGAGAGAGAUGAAGGUAGGAGGGACAGAAAUGGAAAUAGAGAGAAGAGUUAGGGAUAAACUAUAAGUGGUUGUGAGCCUGAGUUACUGUAAGUAUGGUGGUACUCUGGCCAGUAAUAAGGAAAUUAGGCAGAGGAGACUUGACUAAGACAAAUUUAACUCAGAAGACUAUCAUGAAUGCACAUAUUUUCUCACAGUUGUGAAUGGUACAGAAACAUUUUUGGAAGAAACAGACAUUCACUAAGCUACAAUCAAGACCAAUUUCAGGUAUCCAUCCAACCUCAAACUGAAGACAUACAGUGGUGUGAAUGCUAUAACUCUCAAGGAGCUACAGAAGUCUAUUCUGCUUUAAGAAAACUCUAUUUUAAGGAAGUUACUUUUCUUCUCUUUCACAUAAACCUCAUGCUAGACAACAAUCUAUUCAUUCACUAUCCUUUGGAUCCAGUUAUCCAAGGAAGAAAGAUAAGUUCUGUUUUAGAGCUAUUGAGUUUGAGAUGCCUAGAGGACAGCAAUCUAUUCAUUGGAUCACCUACUAAUAGUAACUGCUGAAAACUAUAGAGAUUUAGUCUCAAUUUAAGAAGACUGUUCCUCAGGUAAAGGCUGGUCACUAGUGGAUGCCAGGACAUGACAUUUUUUAUCUCAAGGCUGUUUAACUUUUAUCUAUUUUUUAAACAGGUUAAAACAUUCAGACUUCUCUCCUUACUGUGUUCAUUACAUGAGAAAUACUAUUAGUAUAAUUCAAUUAAUUUUAAGUACAUCAAAAGUAAAACGUGCCUUGAUUAAGCAUUUUUUUUGUCCUUGAGUAAAUGGAAAUAUAUUUGAAUAUCACAAGUAUGUUUUUGAUACCUAAAUUAUCCAGGCUAUCUGAUCUAUUUUAGCUAAAGUGUUUAUUCCAACAACUAUAAUUUAUUCAAGGUCUACUUAAAUAACAAGUGAUUACAAUUGAC